Molecule: long non-coding RNA, 1092 nt
Organism: Homo sapiens (human)
Lineage: Eukaryota; Metazoa; Chordata; Mammalia; Primates; Hominidae
Product: long intergenic non-protein coding RNA 2693
Source: Ensembl
GCGAGGAGCGAGCCGCUUCUCCCCAUCACAGCGAUUCCCAGGGUUGUCAUAGAAACCACUCCCUGGGGCUUGGCAAAGCAGGAGCCCUCCGUGGCAGGGCUUCGGUGUCGGGGCUCCGAGGCUCCGGCCUGACUUCUCCACGGGGUCCACAGGAGCGUCUCCGGAUGCCAGGACCUGAAAUGGGCCGACCAGGAUGAGGAAACCACAGGCAGAGGCCGGGGAAGCAGCGCGGCAUCCCAUCCUCAGGCCUGCCCGGACGGUGUUCGGAAUCAUCUCCCCUGCCCCACAAACAUGAAAGAAAAGACAAGAGAAGCACCCCAGAAGAGGAGGGGAGAAGUGCCCCAGAAAAAAUCAUCCAGUCUCUGAAGCUUUGCCCAGGAGCCAGCUGAGGAGGUGUGUCAUGCAACUUGCCCCCCCAGCCCUCCCCUUCUAAGGAACCCCCACACCUGCUCUGUCUUCCUGCUACAGUCUCUGAGAAAAGCCCUUUCAUCUGUCAAGAACUACAAAAGUCAUUCUUUAAGUGCUAAAUAAACAAUGAAACAGACACAAAGUUAAAGUUACCUGAUCCAAAAAGGAGUGAAGCCUAGACCCCAGCCCACUGACUCAGUCUCUAAGACCCCUCACUCAAAUCUUCAAUCAACAGUGGAGAUGGCUGUGAGCUCUUCUGAUUCCAGAUGACAAUACUCCUCCCUUUAAUUCCUUGAUAUGUUUAAUUAUGUAAGUAAAUUUAAUAUAAAAAUCAUUGCAUUAGAGUUCAUUGUUUUUAUACAAGAUUCAGUGUGAGAUCAAUGUUAUACUUCCAAUUUGUCACACUUACAGAGAACUGAGAAGAAUCACAUUAUUUAAAAUCUUAGCAAAUGUGCAUAAUUCCUUUGGAUAAUUUUAAAGUGAUAGGAUUGGAUCACAUAUGAUGCAAUUGCCUGGGUCUGUUUUGUUUUUAGUUGUAUUUGUCUCUCAUAUUGUGAAUCUCAUAUUUAUGUGACUAAUUAUCAGAAGAUUUUAUCUUUAUUAUGCAUAUUUAGUAUAAAAUGAUCAUACAGUGAAGAGUGUGUAAAAUCAAAAUAAAAUGCCAUUCAUCACCUCUGGCUCUCA